RNAcentral lists this ribosomal RNA (430 nucleotides) under Chloroflexota bacterium. RNAcentral describes it as "Chloroflexi bacterium partial 16S ribosomal RNA". It matches the Rfam family "Bacterial small subunit ribosomal RNA", at positions 355 to 776 of the family's 1533-position model. The record is from RNAcentral. Lineage: Bacteria; Bacillati; Chloroflexota.
UGGGGAAUAUUGCACAAUUGGCGCAAGCCUGAUGCAGCCAUGCCGCGUGUAUGAAGAAGGCCUUCGGGUUGUAAAGUACUUUCAGUCGGGAGGAAGGUGUCAAGGUUAAUAACCUUUGCUCAUUGACGUUACCCGCAGAAGAAGCACCGGCUAACUCCGUGCCAGCAGCCGCGGUAAUACGGAGGGUGCAAGCGUUAAUCGGAAUUACUGGGCGUAAAGCGCACGCAGGCGGUUUGUUAAGUCAGAUGUGAAAUCCCCGGGCUCAACCUGGGAACUGCGUCUGAUACUGGCAAGCUUGAGUCUCGUAGAGGGGGGUAGAAUUCCAGGUGUGGCGGUGAAAUGCGUAGAGAUCUGGAGGAAUACCGGUGGCGAAGGCGGCCCCCUGGACGAAGACUGACGCUCAGGUGCGAAAGCGUGGGGAGCAAACAGG